CACACAACAAUGCAACUGUAGUAGAGCAAAUGACUGUUAAUCAUUGGGUCCCUGGUUCGAGUCCAGGUCGCGGAGCCA
RNAcentral lists this transfer RNA (78 nucleotides) under Gammaproteobacteria bacterium HGW-Gammaproteobacteria-12. Its description in RNAcentral is "tRNA-Asn". The record is from RNAcentral. Lineage: Bacteria; Pseudomonadati; Pseudomonadota; Gammaproteobacteria.